ACUAAAAUUAACAGAGAACAACACAAGAGAUUUAUACUGGUUCACCCAAACACGGGCUAGUCCAGUCCCAACCAACUGCCGGAAUUCACUCGCCUAAAGGUAAUGGCAAAACCUUAGAGUAUCAAGGAAACUCUUAAGAACCUCUCUAAGCUUUAAGGCUAAUUCGCUUAGGAACCAGUCUUUUACGGGUAGACUCACACCUUAGAGUAUCAAGGGCACUCUUAAAAACCUCUAACUUUUACGGGUAAGUUAGUACCUUAGAGUAUCAAGGAACUCUUAAAAACCUCUCUAAGCUUUAAGGCUACUUCGCUUAGGAACCAGUCUUUUACGGGUAGACUCACACCUUAGAGUAUCAAGGGCACUCUUAAGAACCUCUAACUUUUACGGGUAAGUUAGUACCUUAGAGUAUCAAGGAACUCUUAAAAACCUCUCUAAGCUUUAAGGCUACUUCGCUUAGGAACCAGUCUUUUACGGGUAGACUCACACCUUAGAGUAUCAAGGGCACUCUUAAGAACCUCUAACUUUUACGGGUAAGUUAGUACCUUAGAGUAUCAAGGAACUCUUAAAACCCUCUGAAAUCUUUAAAGGUAGACUCAACCUAAGAGUUUUCCCGGAAACUCUAUAAAACCAAACUAGAGCUUUAUGGUUGAGCUCACAAACCCUCUCUCACACUUUGGUACUAUUGAGACAACCCUCUCAACCAAAGUGGACACACACAAGAGGUGAUUAGAGGAGUGGAAUAUUAAAGCAAACAACACUUCUUACUUGUAAAGAUGAAUAAAAAGAUUAGAAGAAGAAGUUGGAGAGCUUUUGAAGCUUUGGAAAGCUAGGACACUUGAGCACUUGAAAGCUUGGAGGCAAAAACGUGUGGGCAAGUGUGGAGUGAAAGCUCUUGAAUUUGUUUGUAGUGUGGUGAGUGAAAAUGAGGGGAUUACCCUUCUAUUUAUAGCCUUGGCCACUCAAUGUCCACCCUUGGAUCUUCAAUGGAUGGCUCCUUGAUUUCUCACAUAAAUCCAAGCUUUGUCUUUGAUCUUAUCUUGAAUAGUGUUUUUCUUGGAUAGAGUUUGUUGGAGAAUCUUAUCUUUGUAUAAAUUCAAACUUGAAUAGUGUUUUGUCCCAUUGGAAUAUUAU
This 1131-nucleotide long non-coding RNA is filed under the name Zostera marina. RNAcentral's name for it is "long non-coding RNA (ZMAR_LNC001960)". The record is from RNAcentral. Lineage: Eukaryota; Viridiplantae; Streptophyta; Magnoliopsida; Alismatales; Zosteraceae.